Molecule: ribosomal RNA, 468 nt
Filed under: uncultured bacterium
Lineage: Bacteria
Description: partial 16S ribosomal RNA
Rfam family: Bacterial small subunit ribosomal RNA
Source: RNAcentral
GAUGAACGCUGGCGGCGUGCUUAACACAUGCAAGUCGAACGGAAAGGCCCUGCUUUUGUGGGGUUCUCGAGUGGCGAACGGGUGAGUAACACGUGAGUAACCUGCCCUUGACUUUGGGAUAACUUCAGGAAACUGGGGCUAAUAUCGGAUAUGAGCUCCUGCUGCAUGGGGGUGGUUGGAGAGUUUCGGCGGUGGGGGAUGGACUCGCGGGUUAUCAGCUGGUUUGUGGGGUAGGUGCUUACCAAGGCUUUGACGGGUAGCCGGCAUGAGAGGGUGAACGGCGACCUGGGGACUGCGAUAGGGCGCAGACUCCUACGGGAGGCAGCAGUGGGGAAUAUUGCACAACGGGCGGAAGCCAGAUACAGAAACGCCGCGUGCGGGAUGCCGGGUUUUGGGUUGUAAACAGAUGUGGAAGUUGACGAAGAGUUAGUGACGGUAACGGGUAAAGAAGCCACGGCUAACUACGUG